Molecule: long non-coding RNA, 284 nt
Filed under: Setaria viridis
Lineage: Eukaryota; Viridiplantae; Streptophyta; Magnoliopsida; Poales; Poaceae
Description: long non-coding RNA (SVIR_LNC008065)
Source: RNAcentral
AUGGCGAAGUCGCCUGCUCGAAAGUAAGUGCGCAGAAGAAAGUAACUUGUUGUAUUGAUUGAUUGUUGUGUUUACAGAUUUACAAAGGUAGCUAUUUAUAGCCCCGUACAAAUAAUCUUCUUAACCGACUAGGACUCUAUCUCUAAUUCAAACAGAAAACAAAUAUCUACAAGCACAAUCCGUGCUAAACUAAUUACCCCACGCUUCGUGGGCUGAACUCCACCUUAUCCCUCCAUCUUUCCAAGCCCAUACAGGCCCACCUUAGUCCACUUUCCUGAUCGGCC